This is a long non-coding RNA of Melitaea cinxia (Glanville fritillary), 810 nucleotides long. RefSeq lists it as uncharacterized. The transcript is spliced from 3 exons. The record is from RefSeq and is a predicted model, not a curated record. Lineage: Eukaryota; Metazoa; Arthropoda; Insecta; Lepidoptera; Nymphalidae.
GUGAAAAGAUAACACGCCGCGGGUUGUGAGAAAUUAAAAAAUUAUGAACGAGGUUGCUUGACUGCGUGUCACGUUUGUUCUUUGGCAGAAUAAUAAAACCCGUUAGUUUAUUUUGUCAAAAUUUUUAAGGAUUGUUAUUGUCAGAAGUGUAAUUCUAAAAUAAAGUGUUUAGUGAAAGGCUUGUGGAAAAGUGGUCAUUGUGUUUUGUUUAAAGUAACUUUCUUGUACCUGCCGUUUGUACUGUGCGACCGUGAAGGUUGAGAAUGUUACGUCAUUUACCAGUGGUGUCUGAUAUGAACUUACUCAUUUCCCAUUGAACUAUGAUAAGUUGAAUCUUAUAAGAAGAUAUUACUAAAUAUUUAAUUAUUUUGAUACAUUUUGCGAGGAGUGCGCUAAGUAAUUAUUCAUAGCCACGGAGCGUCGGAACACGGCGCUGAAUGGCGCCUCUCACAUCAAUGCAACAUUUAUGCAUGUGUUAUCUGGUGAAAAUGCAAGAUAACGUGCGGGAAAAAGAACCGUGACCUUGACCCCAGAGCAUAGGCCUAACCUGCCCCAAAAGUGUUGGGUGAAAAGUUCGCGGUCGAUAAUUAAGAUCGUGUCGUGUUCGCGCACGCGCCCUCUGCACCGCCUGUCUGAUCGAUCCACCCGCCCACGUGACGCAACAACGCAUUUACUAGGAUUCUUCUCGACAAGCUCGCCUCUUACCUUUGUUAAGAAUACAAUAAUAAUAUGAAAAAUGUAAUGUUUCUUAAUUUGUAUUUAGCUUUACCACCUUAUUUAGUAUUUUAUGAAAUUAAAAGUUUCAUGGUU